AAAAAGCGUGCCAAAUCUUUUCUACCUGUGCCUAAAAACGCAGAGGAUAAUGCUGAACUGCAGGAUUUAGAAGUUCAUUCUCUGGUCACUGAAUGUAUCAGGUCAAUGAAGCCUUCAAGGUGCCAACAGAGAUCAUGGUCAGGUGGACCCAUAUAUGAACUCCACCAACACAUUGAGAGGAUCCUUGCUGGAAAGGAACAGGCUGUUCCUAAGCCAAAAUCUGGUGCUUCUCAGAAGAAAAAGAUAACCCAAAAGGAACUGAAGAGGAAAAUUUAGGGCAGGA
This 283-nucleotide long non-coding RNA is filed under the name Homo sapiens (human). Its description in RNAcentral is "non-protein coding lnc-CWC22-3:1". The record is from RNAcentral. Lineage: Eukaryota; Metazoa; Chordata; Mammalia; Primates; Hominidae.